GCUGGGCAUGGCAGUGUGUGCCUGUAAUCCCAGCUACUCGGGAGGCUGAGGCAGGAGAAUUGCUUGAACCCAGGAGGUGGAGGUUGCAGACAACUGAGAUUGCACCACUGCACUCCAUCCUGGGCAACAGAGCAAGACUCUGUCUCUA
This 148-nucleotide small RNA is filed under the name Macaca mulatta (Rhesus monkey). Its description in RNAcentral is "Metazoan signal recognition particle RNA (ENSMMUG00000050098.1)". Lineage: Eukaryota; Metazoa; Chordata; Mammalia; Primates; Cercopithecidae. The record is from Rfam by way of RNAcentral.